CAGUUAUUGGUGUGCCCAAAAAUGUUAAUGUUCCUGCAAAUUGAUGAAGUGUUGACUAUGAAUAGUCUUUUUUGUGGUCAAUAUGAUAAUACAACGGCUCAAUAAUGGCGCACUUAGCAAUUUGAAUAAGAAUACUUAUAUGCAAAUAUAUGUGCCAGGUGCAAAAUAAAUACAAAGGACUAUCAAUCAGCAGAUUAUCAUUUGCAGGGAAGAGACAAAGAAACAAACAAUACUAUUUAGUGUAGAAAACAACACUGAAAGAAUUAAAUGGAUCAUUUAGAAUAUAUGCUUGCAUUUCAGUGUCAUCAAAAAAUAGCCACGACAUAAUAAAUACACUUCCACUGACAGCCAUUGGGCCGUUAAACAGACCGUUUGUCCUCGCUGUGAAAAUCGUCCUGGUGUGAACAGGGCUUUAGGCUAACACACAACAUGAAGGUUAAAACGCAUACAAGACCAGACCUAUCAUUUCACCACAUCACACUGAAACUAUCAUUUAAAAGAACUUCAUCCUCAGUUUUAAUGAAAUUUUCAUUUCAAGGAAAAGACCGCCACUUGCUGGGAGCAAAUUAAACAAAUUGGUUUUUUAUUUAUUUCCCAGAAAAAAAGAGUCUGUUGUGAAUUUUUCUUGGAAUAUAAGGCAUUCAGGAUCCACCUUCCGUUUCUUUGAAAGAGACAUUUUCACAUACCCACAUUUUCACCCUACGUUUGAGAGAUUACAAGUAACCUUUAGCAACAGUAGGCACGUAUAGCCUAAGGAUGAUGACUAGAGGACCUUUAGUGGAUAUAUAAGUAACUGCAUCUGGGUGUGGAUAAUUCUUUACAUUUCCAUUACAUCACUGCCUUACACGGGCCGCAUGGAAUCAUCAGGCGGGCCGGGUAUGGCCCAUGGGCCAUAUGUUUUGCAUACAGCUGCAAUCAAAAUUAUUCAAUCCCCAUUGCAAAUCAGGUUUAUUGUCAAAAUUUACAGACUUUCUGCUGUUUGCAAUGAACAAAUCAUUGCACACAGCUAAGCCUUGGUGGAAUUUGAGGUAUGCUUGGGAUCAUUGUCCUGUUGUACGGUCCAUUGAUGCAAUGAACAAAUCAUUGCACACAGCUAUGCAAUGAUUUGUUCAUUGCAUCAGUGGACUGUCGAACAGGACAAUGAUCCCAAGCAUACCUCAAAUUCCACCAAGGCUUAGUUGCUGAAGAAGUCCUGGAAGAUUCUACAGGGCCAUCACAAUAACCCAAGAAUAUUAUUACUGAUCUAUUUCAAUUGAUUUUGUUUGAUUUGUUCAUUGCAAACAGCUGAAAGUCUGUAAAUGUUUAAUAAUUAAGGGUUGAAUAAUUAGGGGCCAAGCACUGAAGCAUUUGCACUAACCUUUCAACCUCUUGGCAUACAAAUAAAUGCCUCUCUUCUGUUCAUUUCCGAUUCAAACAGCUGGGCUUCUGAACCUAUCUUUUAUUCAUUCAUGUAUAUUCUAUUUCUCCUCUUUGUGUUCUUCAGGCUCUGAAUUGCGCUUCUUUGCCUUUGGUGCUUGGCCCCUUUAAACACUGCUUGCAGCUUUAAUUUUGAUUGCAACUGUAUGAGAAACAAUGACUGAUAUUAUGAUUGUGAUUGUACAGUUAGAUUAUCCUAAUAAGCCAUCUAUUCUUUUUCUUUAUGUGACAUCCUGUAUGGCAUUCAUGUUUGAAUAUGUGUGUCCUGCAGGUGAUCCAACACGGCCACUUCCAGGUGAGUCAUCUUCCUUUGUAACCUUAUUUCCUGUCUAAAUUUCUUUUACAUUUGAAUUGGAUUUAAAUCCUGCAACCGUCUCUUACUGCCUUAAGCUUAAUAAAUUUAAAUAGAUUUCUGGGACAGCAGAUUUGGAGUACAUUCACAUGUUCUUUCUCCCUCUCUAUCUGUAUCACUUAACUUUAGUAAAAAUACUACACAUUCUGAAAACCCAUGACUCAUGUUGAAUGUUAUAUAUUAUAUUACAGUUGCAACCACAUUGAUCAGCACUUCUCAUUCACCUGUCACUCUGUCAUGGUUCAGUCCAACACCAAAGACACAUCCCACUACUACAGAACCAGAAAGCAUUUCCACAACAACUGCCACAAAGGGCAUCACUGCAGGGAGUAUAAUACUUGUCAUUAUUGCUGGCUUGGCAGCAGCCAUUCUUUUUUGGCGUAAACGUUCAAAGCUACGGAGCACUUCCCAUCCUAUAGAAAUGACGAUCCAGAAUCCUGACUCAGAUCAGCCCUUAAUAAUGGCCUCCCCUAUCACGAUCAGCUGUCCUCCAGACUCCGUCCAACCUCUAUUCACUCCUUUUGAAGACUCUCCUAAGGGCAUAUAUACAAAUGUUCCCCUGUCUGCCUAAAAUGCGGACCAGGGCAAGUUAUAUAGAAAUUAUUUCAUGUGUGGCCAACAGCGUUAUGAUCAAAAAAGCCAUGUGUACAAUAAAAAUGCAGUAUACAUUCUUGAAACAAUGAAAACUACAUGAAAAUGAAUGACAGGAUUUAAAAAAUUAUACUUCUGAGCAUCCUUCAGUGUAAUGGGCCGUUUUAUUCUAAUAUUUUCCAGCUCAUUUUGCUCAUUUCUGCACAGGUACAGUUUUAUUUGCUUUAUCUGUGUUGCAUGGCAUGUGUAUGUGCUCUCAGUAACUUGUCAGAGAUAUGUGUUCACUUAAAGUGCAGAAAUGGCCUUUAAUCUAAUGAAUUAUGGAACGUCAUUCAUAUUCAGGUAAUAUUUUGGUAUUUUAUAUUUUAUUUUAAGUUUUUUUGUGCAGUAAAUAUUGGAUACAGGUAGCUUUUUAUCUCGUUAAACAGGCAG
Ictalurus punctatus (channel catfish) is the source of this 2791-nucleotide long non-coding RNA. NCBI's taxonomy places the organism in Eukaryota, Metazoa, Chordata, Actinopteri, Siluriformes, Ictaluridae. The record is from Ensembl.